GAUUGCCAUAUACAACAGAAGAUACUAAAAAUGGUGUGCUACCAACUAUUAAGUGUUUUGAUUGUGUUUUGGAAGUCAACCACAUGAAAUGGAUUAUUUCUUAUUUAACGAGAUCAGCUAUGCCAGCUGUCAAACACAAAGCCUGGUAGCAUACUCUGGCUUUCACAUUCAAUCAUGUGAUACAAUUACUCAUUUAAAGCACUUUAUCCCUUCAUCAACUGUCAGUUCGGAUCUGACAAACGUGGUUUAUUACUCUGUGUCGUGUGACCAACAAAACUCACCACCGUUUCAGCAAUCUUCCUGCCAUUCCUACCUACCAACCAACACACAUACACAUGGACCCAAAAACCAUUUUCCCGUGGACUGCCAAGUCUUUACUUUCUUCUUCGUAAUUCCUGGCCCCACAAUCUUUUUCGUCUUUUGUUAACAGCUAGCUAGGGCAUUUUCCUUUUUUGUCCCAUGUAAAAAGACCUUCAAGAUUACAGUCUCUAAGUAUUAAUUCUCUCAAGCCAUGUAAACGUAAGUUUCCAUUUGCCCGUUCAAAUGUAAUAUUGUAAUAUCGUUGUUUGUUAUUUAGGUAGCGC
Daphnia carinata is the source of this 584-nucleotide long non-coding RNA. RefSeq lists it as uncharacterized. NCBI's taxonomy places the organism in Eukaryota, Metazoa, Arthropoda, Branchiopoda, Diplostraca, Daphniidae. The record is from RefSeq and is a predicted model, not a curated record. The transcript has 4 exons.